Molecule: ribosomal RNA, 207 nt
Filed under: uncultured bacterium
Lineage: Bacteria
Description: partial 16S ribosomal RNA
Rfam family: Bacterial small subunit ribosomal RNA
Source: RNAcentral
CGCGUAGGCGGAUUGUUAAGUCGGGGGUGAAAUCCCGGGGCUCAACCCCGGAACUGCCUCCGAUACUGGCAGUCUAGAGGUCGAGAGAGGUGAGUGGAAUUCCGAGUGUAGAGGUGAAAUUCGUAGAUAUUCGGAGGAACACCAGUGGCGAAGGCGGCUCACUGGCUCGAUUCUGACGCUGAGGUGCGAAAGCGUGGGGAGCAAACA